This 429-nucleotide ribosomal RNA is filed under the name Chloroflexota bacterium. RNAcentral's name for it is "Chloroflexi bacterium partial 16S ribosomal RNA". It matches the Rfam family "Bacterial small subunit ribosomal RNA", at positions 355 to 776 of the family's 1533-position model. The record is from RNAcentral. Lineage: Bacteria; Bacillati; Chloroflexota.
UGGGGAAUAUUGCACAAUGGGCGCAAGCCUGAUGCAGCCAUGCCGCGUGUGUGAAGAAGGCCUUCGGGUUGUAAAGCACUUUCAGCGGGGAGGAAGGCGAUAAGGUUAAUAACCUUGUCGAUUGAUGUUACCCGCAGAAGAAGCACCGGCUAACUCCGUGCCAGCAGCCGCGGUAAUACGGAGGGUGCAAGCGUUAAUCGGAAUUACUGGGCGUAAAGCGCACGCAGGCGGUCUGUCAAGUCGGAUGUGAAAUCCCCGGGCUCAACCUGGGAACUGCAUUCGAAACUGGCAGGCCAGAGUCUUGUAGAGGGGGGUAGAAUUCCAGGUGUAGCGGUGAAAUGCGUAGAGAUCUGGAGGAAUACCGGUGGCGAAGGCGGCCCCCUGGACAAAGACUGACGCUCAGGUGCGAAAGCGUGGGGAGCAAACAGG